UUAUCCUACGGGACGCAGCAGUGAGGAAUAUUGGUCAAUGGGCUUACGCCUGAACCAGCCAAGUCGCGUGAGGGAAGACUGCCCUAUGGGUUGUAAACCUCUUUUGUCAGGGAGCAACGCCGGCUACGUGUAGCCGGACUGAGAGUACCUGAAGAAAAAGCAUCGGCUAACUCCGUGCCAGCAGCCGCGGUAAUACGGAGGAUGCGAGCGUUAUCCGGAUUUAUUGGGUUUAAAGGGAGCGUAGACGGUGAGACAAGUCUGAAGUGAAAGCCCGGGGCUCAACCCCGGGACUGCUUUGGAAACUG
This 305-nucleotide ribosomal RNA is filed under the name uncultured bacterium. RNAcentral's name for it is "bacterial SSU rRNA". It matches the Rfam family "Bacterial small subunit ribosomal RNA", at positions 334 to 635 of the family's 1533-position model. The record is from RNAcentral.